GACGUAGGAGGCGAGCGUUAUCCGGAUUUAUUGGGCGUAAAGGGCAAGUAGGCGGUUAGGCAAGUUGUGCGUGACAGUUCCCGGCUUAACUGGGAGAGGUCGUACAAUACUGUCUGACUAGAGGGCAGGAGAGGGAAGCGGAACUCCAAUGUAGCGGUGGAAUGCUCAGAUAUUAGGAAGAACACCAGUGGCGAAGGCGGCUUUCUGGCCUGCACCUGACGCUGAGAGGCGAAAGCUAGGGGAGCGAACGG
This 251-nucleotide ribosomal RNA is filed under the name uncultured prokaryote. Its description in RNAcentral is "partial 16S ribosomal RNA". It matches the Rfam family "Bacterial small subunit ribosomal RNA", at positions 524 to 775 of the family's 1533-position model. The record is from RNAcentral.